Molecule: ribosomal RNA, 489 nt
Filed under: uncultured bacterium
Lineage: Bacteria
Description: partial 16S ribosomal RNA
Rfam family: Bacterial small subunit ribosomal RNA
Source: RNAcentral
AUUGAACGCUGGCGGCAGGCCUAACACAUGCAAGUCGAACGGUAACAGGAAGCAGCUUGCUGCUUCGCUGACGAGUGGCGGACGGGUGCGUAAUGUCUGGGAAACUGCCUGAUGGAGGGGGCUAACUACUGGAAACGGUAGCUAAUACCGCAUAACGUCGCAAGACCAAAGAGGGGGACCUUAGGGCCUCUUGCCAUCGGAUGUGCCCAGAUGGGAUUAGCUAGUAGGUGGGGUAACGGCUCACCUAGGCGACGAUCCCUAGCUGGUCUGCGAGGGUGACCAGCCACACUGGAGCUGAGACACGGUCCAGACACCUACGGGAGGCAGCAGUGGGGAAUAUGGCACAAUGGGCGCAAGCCUGAUGCAGCCAUGGCGCGUGUAUGAAGAAGGCCUUCGGGUUGUAAAGUACUUUCAGCGGGGAGGAAGGGAGUAAAGUUGAUACCUUUGCUCAUUGACGUGACCCGCAGAAGAAGCACCGGCGAACUGCGU